CAGUCGCCGCGGGAAUACGUAGGGUGCGAGCGUUAAUCGGAAUUACUGGGCGUAAAGCGUGCGCAGGCGGUUUUGUAAGACAAGCGUGAAAUCCCCGGGCUCAACCUGGGAAUGGCGCUUGUGACUGCAAAGCUAGAGUGCGGCAGAGGGGGAUGGAAUUCCGCGUGUAGCAGUGAAAUGCGUAGAUAUGCGGAGGAACACCGAUGGCGAAGGCAAUCCCCCGGGCCUGCACUGACGCUCAUGCACGAAAGCGUGGGGAGCAAACAGGAUUAGAUACCCCCGUAGUCCCUGUCUCUUAUAC
Molecule: ribosomal RNA, 301 nt
Filed under: uncultured bacterium
Lineage: Bacteria
Description: partial 16S ribosomal RNA
Rfam family: Bacterial small subunit ribosomal RNA
Source: RNAcentral